GGAAGAAGGCCUUCGGGUUGUAAACUGCUUUUGCGUGGGAAGAAUUUUGACGGUACCACGAGAAUAAGGGGUUGCUAACUCUGUGCCAGCAGCAGCGGUAAUACAGAGACCCCGAGCAUUAUCCGGAAUUACUGGGCGUAAAGCGCGAGCAGCCGGUCGUGUUAGUCUGAUGUAAAACCGUGGGGCCCAACUCCACGUCUGCAUUGGAAACGGCACGACUCGAGUAGAUGAGAGGAAGGCAGAACGUAUGGUGUAGGGGUGAAAUCCACUGAUAUCAUACGGAAUACCAAAAGCGAAGGCAGCCUUCUAGCGUCUCACUGACGGUCAAUCGCGAAAGCGUGGGGAUCAAAAAGGAUUAGAUACCCCUGUAGUCC
This 374-nucleotide ribosomal RNA is filed under the name uncultured bacterium. RNAcentral's name for it is "bacterial SSU rRNA". It matches the Rfam family "Bacterial small subunit ribosomal RNA", at positions 406 to 796 of the family's 1533-position model. The record is from RNAcentral.